AAACCGGAGGAAGGUGGGGAUGACGUCAAGUCAUCAUGGCCCUUACGGCCUGGGCUACACACGUGCUACAAUGGUCGGUAACAAAGGGUUGCCAAAGCCGCGAGGUGGAGCUAAUCCCAACUAAAACCGAUCGUAGUCCGGAUCGCAGUCUGCAACUCGACUGCGUGAAGUCGGAAUCGCUAGUAAUCGUCGAAUCAGAAUGUCACGGUGAAUACGUUCCCGGGCCUU
RNAcentral lists this ribosomal RNA (228 nucleotides) under uncultured Pseudomonas sp. RNAcentral describes it as "partial 16S ribosomal RNA". It matches the Rfam family "Bacterial small subunit ribosomal RNA", at positions 1160 to 1382 of the family's 1533-position model. The record is from RNAcentral. Lineage: Bacteria; Pseudomonadati; Pseudomonadota; Gammaproteobacteria; Pseudomonadales; Pseudomonadaceae.